This 301-nucleotide ribosomal RNA is filed under the name uncultured bacterium. RNAcentral's name for it is "partial 16S ribosomal RNA". It matches the Rfam family "Bacterial small subunit ribosomal RNA", at positions 509 to 807 of the family's 1533-position model. The record is from RNAcentral.
CAGUCGCCACGGGAAUACGUAGGGUGCAAGCGUUAAUCGGAAUUACUGGGCGUAAAGCGUGCGCAGGCGGUUAUAUAAGACAGAUGUGAAAUCCCCGGGCUCAACCUGGGUACUGCAUUUGUGACUGUAUAGCUAGAGUACGGCAGAGGGGGAUGGAAUUCCGCGUGUAGCAGUGAAAUGCGUAGAUAUGCGGAGGAACACCGAUGGCGAAGGCAAUCCCCUGGGCCUGUACUGACGCUCAUGCACGAAAGCGUGGGGAGCAAACAGGAUUAGAUACCCCCGUAGUCCCUGUCUCUUAUAC